This 1441-nucleotide unclassified non-coding RNA is filed under the name Hevea brasiliensis (rubber tree). The record is from RNAcentral. Lineage: Eukaryota; Viridiplantae; Streptophyta; Magnoliopsida; Malpighiales; Euphorbiaceae.
UCUCCGUCUCUAUCUCUCUCCGUAUUAUCCGUAUCAUCCUUUCCUCUGUUUGAAACCACCAGAUCCUCCAAUUUUCCAAACACCAAAAUUAAAAGAAAAUUCAGAUUUUUAUAUAAAUUUCCAGUUUCCAUGUUUCAAAAUUUCACUGAACCCGUCGCAGUCGCAGGGAAAAAAUCAUUACAAUAGUGAACGAAAAUGGAUUCAUUUGCAUUUUCUCUCCAGCUGAACCAAACCCUCUCUCUCAAUUAAGUAAUCUAUUUUUCUUACCAUGAUGGCUCUGCUUCAGCUCAUUUCAACUCACAAACCCUCGUUAAAACCCAAUACUAACCUUCCUCCUUUAAACCCUUCCUCCAAUUCUUCUGCUCUCCAUUACCACAGUCGCUGCCGUAGGCGACAGACCAACUCUAUCAGAUGCUCCGCCUCCGAAAAGCAUGACACCAACCAUCCUAAACCAGACGAUGUCGUUGAAUUGCCGCUCUUUCCUCUCCCGCUCGUCCUAUUCCCUGGCGCUAUCUUGCCCCUCCAGAUCUUCGAGUUCCGUUACCGCAUUAUGAUGCACACUCUCCUCCACACUGACCUGCGAUUCGGUGUCAUCUACUCCGACGCUGCCUCCGGCACUGCUGAAGUCGGAUGUGUAGGCGAGAUUGUUAAACACGAGCGCCUCGUCGACGACCGCUUCUUCCUCAUCUGCAAGGGCCAGGAGCGUUUCCGUAUUACCAAUCUUGUCCGCACAAAACCAUAUCUUGUGGCCGAGGUUAGUUGGCUGGAGGACCGGCCGUCUGGGGAUGAGGACGUCGAAACUUUGGCGACGGAAGUGGAGAACUAUAUGAAAGACGUGAUUCGAUUAUCGAAUCGGUUGAACGGGAAGCCCGAAAAGGAAGCUCAGGAUUUGCGAAGGAAUCUGUUUCCGACUCCGUUUUCGUUUUUCGUAGGGAGUACUUUCGAGGGCGCGCCAAGGGAGCAGCAGGCGUUGCUGGAAUUGGUGGAUUCGGCGGCGAGAUUGAAGAGAGAGAAGGAGACUUUGAGAAACACUCUUAACUACUUGACCGCAGCCUCCGCCGUUAAAGAUGUGUUUCCGUCUUCAUGAUAAGAAAAAAAAAAAAAAGAAGAUCACACGUGGUAAUUGAAGUUCAGGAAGAGCAAAGAGGAUGCGGAAAAUAUAUGUAAGUCUCAAUGUGAAAUCGUUUGCUUUUAGUAGGAUUUACGAAGUUGUAAAUUUUGAUGUGUAAUUUGUCUGUUUUUCUAAUCAUUAGAUGAUAAAUUGUUGACAUUCAUAAAUUGAAGAGGAUUUGCACAUAAUCAACGCUUGUUAAUUAUUAAUAUGAUAUUAUUUUUCUUCCUCCACAUAAACCAACCUCUCCCCUCUCCCCCCCCUCCCCCAUAACCCAACCUUCUUCUCCCUCUUUCCUCUUUCCUCUUUCCUCUUUCCUCUUUCCUCUUU